RNAcentral lists this long non-coding RNA (1134 nucleotides) under Struthio camelus australis. Its description in RNAcentral is "lncRNA (ENSSCUG00000007670.1)". Lineage: Eukaryota; Metazoa; Chordata; Aves; Struthioniformes; Struthionidae. The record is from RNAcentral.
AUGCAGGGUAAUAAUGCACAUUCGUCCAAGUCUCUGCCUGGUCUCUUCCAGCUUUGUCUCUAUAGGCAGUUUUUUGGGGGGGAAAUUAGAGAUAUAUAUUAUUGUACCUGGGGCCUUUUCCCCAGGGAAUCUAAAUGCCAUUGGGGGCGGGUCUCUGACCCAUUGGCAAUUUACAGAUCGAUAAGAACCAGAGGAAAAAAAUUAGGAAGUCUGAAACAAGGACACACUGGAUUUUUUUCCUGGCUGUUAAAAUGGAGCUGCUGGGCUGCAGGAGCAGGAGGUGACGGCGGUCCUGGGCUGCCGAGGCGACAGGCAGGGGAGCACGCCGCGGCCGGCGGGAAGCGUUUGGAGCUGCCCUGGAAAGGACAAGCACAACGCUUCCCUUGGGAGAUACAGGAUGGAAAGGGAAACGUGAAUCCCCAUCUAAUCACUGGCCAGGAGACGCACAGAGAUCCGUCAAAGAGCCCCGUGGCUCUGCGUCAGGGCUGCAGCCUGUCCUUUGUUAGGGCUAUUUAUUACGCUCCAAAUUUCCUACUGUGUUUUAACCUUGGGUUUUAUGAGCCCGUUUGCGGAAAGCCUCCAGCCGUGCCGCCCCUCCGGCCACCUUCUCCAGCCCCUCCGCCGGGUGAUGUGCGGGUUGUCACCUGUGUCCCGCAGCGCAGCAGCGGGCCUCGGGCUGCCAGUAGAGCCAGGCGGUGCCAUAACCCAUGUCCCGGUGGGCGAAGGAUGGACGGACCAGCUCGGACACGGCCGUUUCCAUCGAGGAUGCUCCCAACGGGCCAGCGGACAGAGUUGCCUCGGCUGCCCCGGUGCGUGCAAGCACCCGCGCACAUAAGUCACGGCCCUGCCCUCCCUGGAGAGCUGCUGGGCUUCUGGUCGUCACACCAGGGAGGGCACCUAACGAGGCACACGGUGGGGCACCUUCCUGGUAGGAAGUACAGAUGCCUCCUGGCUGGAGCCAGGGCUGGCAGCAGGAUUUUGUGGCGCUGGCCGAGGCCGAGGGCUGGUGCCGGCCGGCGCGGCUGCCUGCACACCGGGAAGGAGAAGGUGAGCCAUCGUGUGGGCAAGCAAACGGGUCCGCCUCGAUCGCCGGGAGGUUGGUGCAGACGCCUGCCCGAGCUUGUCGCUUCGUAG